CAGUCGCCGCGGGAAUACGAAGGGGGCUAGCGUUGUUCGGAAUUACUGGGCGUAAAGGGCGCGUAGGCGGCCAUUCAAGUUAGAUGUGAAAGCCCUGGGCUCAACCUAGGAAUUGCAUUUGAUACUGUUUGGCUUGAGUUCGGUAGAGGUGAGUGGAAUUCCCAGUGUAGAGGUGAAAUUCGUAGAUAUUGGGAAGAACACCAGUGGCGAAGGCGGCUCACUGGACCGACACUGACGCUGAGGCGCGAAAGCGUGGGGAGCAAACAGGAUUAGAGACCCCAGUAGUCCCUGUCUCUUAUAC
Molecule: ribosomal RNA, 301 nt
Filed under: uncultured bacterium
Lineage: Bacteria
Description: partial 16S ribosomal RNA
Rfam family: Bacterial small subunit ribosomal RNA
Source: RNAcentral